RNAcentral lists this unclassified non-coding RNA (2852 nucleotides) under Apis florea (little honeybee). RNAcentral describes it as "uncharacterized LOC100871496, transcript variant X8". Lineage: Eukaryota; Metazoa; Arthropoda; Insecta; Hymenoptera; Apidae. The record is from RNAcentral.
UUAUUACAAAUAUAAUUACAAAUUAUUUAUUAACUAAAAUAUAAGUAAUAAAAGUGCAUAUAUAUGUAUUUAUGAACGUAUAUUUUUAGACUCAUAUGUAUACAUGCUAUUCAGUAAUAAAAUGUGAAAUUUCGAUUUGAAAGAAUACUCUGAAGUAUUUUUGAUACGUUGUUAAAAUAUCGAGGUUAAGAUGCUAAUUUAACUCCUGUUCAAAAACGGAAUAGAAGGCAAUUUUUUAACUUUCUUCUAUAUUAUUAUCCAAAACAAAUAGACAUACAUUCAUUUUUCUGGAGUUCACACAUUUUUUGAUAUACUUUUUUUAUUGUGUUAUCACGUAAAUGUAAUAAAAUUUAAUUAUCGCUUAUAUAAAAUUUCAAUUCAGACUAAUCCAAUUCUAAGAAAGAAUGUCUUUUAUGGUAGAAAAUAGAUCAACCAAUGAAAUAAACAAUAAAGAGAGAGAACAUUUUCUUUCUUUAGAAGUAACUAAAGAUUAUAGCUUUAAGUACAUACCUGAGAGUCAUUUUAAACAUAUAGUAAAAAAUGUACAGAGACACAGACGUAAGGAGGAUGAGGAACGUAUCUGGGCUUCAUUCGUCAAAGAACAGGAGUUAAAUAGUUUGAGGUUUGACAAAAAAGAUGUUGACUAUUCUAUACAAAAUAUAAAAGAUCUGUUGCAAGAAAAUAUACAAAAUGUAGAUAGAGAAUUGAAAAGACUAGAAGAAGAUGCUCUUCCUGAACGAAGCAAAGGAAUUCAAAACCCUAAAUCUAAUGUUAAAAAUGAAAUGAUUUAUUCAAAAGUAAACAAUAUCAGAAAUAAUUCUUCAAAAGAAAAAAUAUUAACAAAGAAUAAAGAUACAUGCAAAACUAAUGUUUUAAUUCCAACUUCACAAAGCAAUAAUAUUUGUAUAUCUAAGGAAUUUGAAGGACAGAAAACAGUUUUUAGAUCCAAAGCUAAAAAAUCUUUGUCAGAUUCUACUAUCACAGAAAAAAAAUGUUUUACAAACCAACUUCUUCGUGCAACAAAUCAUUUUGAAAAUAAUUCUGAUACAGAUUCAAGUAAUAAUAAAAAUAUUGUUUAUAUACAACCAGAUCCACUUACUAUACAAAAACUUUUAUCAAUGCAAAAGAAAAUUGCUGAAUUGUUAGAUGAAAUUUUAUUUAGAUUAUGCAGAAUUCCUUUACCAGAUGGUGAAAAUGAUUUGAAAAGAAGACAACAACAAACAUUAGAAUUUGCUAUAAGAUUUUCAAGAAAUUAUUUAUACAAUUUAAAUAGAUUUGUUACAAGCAUUCAAAGACAUAUCAAAGCUGUGUCUUCAAGAUCAGGAUUAAAACAAUAUCAUAAAAAUAUUGCAUUUCAUCAAGAUAUGAUUAAACAAAAAUUAGUUGCUGCACAUCAAUUAUUAAUGCAAGCUUUAACUGCUUAUUGUAAACACAUUCCUAAUUCUAUUCUUGAUGGUCAUUCUACAAAAUUGCAAGAUGUAUUACAAAUUGUUUACAAUCUGAUAAAUAUUUGUGAUAAAAUUGAAAUCUCUUCUUAUUACUUUUGUUCUGGAGAUACCACCAUUAUACCGCUGGGAAAAAAUCUUCAAGAUAAAUGCGAUGCUAUAUUAGCGAAAUUGAAAUUAAAUUUAGAAAGCAAAUAUGGAUACGCGAAUUAUAAAAAUGCUCAAUCUUUUAUAACUACUGCAUCAAUAUCUUUACCUAACAAAGGACGUUUUAAUCGAAAAAAUUUAUCUAGUCGAUUAAGUAUGUACAAUAUGGAUGUUAAAAUAUCUAAGACUAACCAAAAAAGAAGAAAUUACAUAAGAAGAAAAAAUUAUACUUAUCAAAAAGAAAAUGGAAAUGAUACUAAGGAUGGUAAAAACUUAUAUACUCAGGAUUGCUCAUUAUCAGAAAUGUUGUAUCCCAGUCCUAUAACUCAUACAACUUCUUCUAGAGAUGUUGUUCAUAUUGAUUCUAUGAAAAAUAUAAACAACUUAAAAGAAGAUGAUAUUCAAACUAUGAUGGAAGGAAUAACGAUAGAUUCUGAAAAUGACAGCAAUAUAGAAAUUCAAACUAAAUGUAAACCUACUACAAAUAGUGAACCACAAUCUGUUGCAAUACGAAAAAAAGGGGGAAAUAUCAAAGUAGAAAAUGUUACUGAUGAAAAUGAUUUAAUUAAAAAAGUAACCACAAUUCCUAAAGAACAUUUGGCUACUUUAGUUCCUGUAAUAAACGAUUUAAUAACUUUUGUGUCGAGAAUGCAAAACGAAUCUGAGAUGCAACCUGUUUCGGAAACAUCCAUGGAAACAUUAAGAGAAUUUUUACAAAAAUAUCAGUCUCCUAAAGAUUAUGAUACUAGAACAACUUUAACAAAAAACAAUUAUGAACAAUCAUAUUGUAAUUUAAAUGGCUUAUCUGAAAUUAAAAAACGUGAUGAAAAUGUACAAUUCAUUUGUAUAUCUUCCAUGGAAAAAGUUCCUAAAAUGACUCAAUGUGAUGCUUCAUGUCAAGUAGAUUAUGAAAUUGCAUUAAAAAAGAAAUUGAGCUACAAUUUUUAACAUAUAGAUGUGAAUAUAAAAAAUUUUGUCAAUCAAAACCAAUGUAUUCCAGCAAUACACAAAAUAAACCAUGGGACAUUGUAGCAUGGAUAUCUGAUAAAUUGAUAGAGGAAUUAAUAAUUGAAAUAACAGAAGAGUUACAAAUGAAUAAUAUAAUUAAGAAACUGUUUGAAAUGGAGUUUCAAGAAUUGUAAUAACAAAGUUUGUGUAUAUGGAAUUAUUAUAAGAAAUCAUACUUAUACAAAGCAAAAAACUUUUCAAAUAUUUUUUAUUUAAAGUAUCACUUUUUAAAUAAAUUACUUUUCAUACCAA